Molecule: ribosomal RNA, 587 nt
Filed under: uncultured bacterium
Lineage: Bacteria
Description: bacterial SSU rRNA
Rfam family: Bacterial small subunit ribosomal RNA (bases 1-522)
Source: RNAcentral
CCUACGGGAGGCAGCAGUGGGGAAUAUUGCACAAUGGGCGGAAGCCUGAUGCAGCGACGCCGCGUGAGGGAUGAAGGCCCUCGGGUUGUAAACCUCUUUCAGCAGGGACGAAGCGUGAGUGACGGUACCUGCAGAAGAAGCACCGGCUAACUACGUGCCAGCAGCCGCGGUAAUACGUAGGGUGCGAGCGUUGUCCGGAAUUACUGGGCGUAAAGAGUUCGUAGGCGGUUUGUCGCGUCGUUUGUGAAAACCCGGGGCUCAACUUCGGGCUUGCAGGCGAUACGGGCAGACUUGAGUGUUUCAGGGGAGACUGGAAUUCCUGGUGUAGCGGUGAAAUGCGCAGAUAUCAGGAGGAACACCGGUGGCGAAGGCGGGUCUCUGGGAAACAACUGACGCUGAGGAACGAAAGCGUGGGUAGCAAACAGGAUUAGAUACCCUGGUAGUCCACGCCGUAAACGGUGGCGCUAGGUGUGGGUUCCUUCCACGGGAUCUGUGCCGUAGCUAACGCAUUAAGCGCCCGCCUGGGGAGUACGCGCAGACAACACAAGAAUAGACGCGNGAGACGNGCGACGCGACGACGAGGAGAG